UUUAUCGGAGAGUUUGAUCCUGGCUCAGGACGAACGCUGGCGGCGUGCCUAAUACAUGCAAGUCGAGCGGACAGAUGGGAGCU
This 83-nucleotide ribosomal RNA is filed under the name Bacillus amyloliquefaciens. RNAcentral describes it as "partial 16S ribosomal RNA". It matches the Rfam family "Bacterial small subunit ribosomal RNA", at positions 1 to 82 of the family's 1533-position model. RNAcentral also lists the same sequence under 3 other names. The record is from RNAcentral. Lineage: Bacteria; Bacillati; Bacillota; Bacilli; Caryophanales; Bacillaceae.